CAGAAUAUAGUUUAAUAAAAAUUUUAAUUUUGGAGAUUAAAGAUAAAUUUAAUUUUAUUCUGA
RNAcentral lists this transfer RNA (63 nucleotides) under Phloeotribus sp. BMNH 1047247. RNAcentral describes it as "tRNA-Pro". The record is from RNAcentral. Lineage: Eukaryota; Metazoa; Arthropoda; Insecta; Coleoptera; Curculionidae.